RNAcentral lists this ribosomal RNA (510 nucleotides) under Ameerega berohoka. RNAcentral's name for it is "Ameerega sp. NMM-2011 partial 16S ribosomal RNA". The stretch from base 126 to 510 matches the Rfam family "Bacterial large subunit ribosomal RNA", at positions 2045 to 2595 of the family's 2925-position model. Lineage: Eukaryota; Metazoa; Chordata; Amphibia; Anura; Dendrobatidae. The record is from RNAcentral.
CCCCUUAAAAACCCCUCCCAAUAAAGGGCCCCCCCCCCGGAUUUUCGGCCGGGUAUAACCGGGGGGGGGGAAAACUUUUUAAGGAAUGAAGCCCCCGGGGCCCGUUCCUUUUUUACCAUGGAACUUAUCUCCCGGAGAGCGGGAAACCUAUAAGACGAGAGGACCUAUGAGCCUUAACAACUGAACAAUUGCUUUUUCUUUAACAUCUCCUGCGCUCUUUACUUUAUCUAAGCAUUUUUAUUUCUAGUUUUAGGUUGGGGUGACCACGGAGCAAAAUUUAACCUCCAUGAAGAAAUGAAUAUUUUAAGCCACAAACUACUUUUUUAAGCAUCAACAAAUUGACCUUUAUUGACCCAAUAUAUUGAUCAACGAACCAAGUUACCCUAGGGAUAACAGCGCAAUCUACUUCAAGAGCUCAUAUCGGACAAGUAGGUUUACGACCUCGAUGUUGGAUCAGGGUAUCCUAGUGGUGCAGCCGCUACUAAUGGUUCGUUUGUUCAACGAAUCGCU